This 285-nucleotide signal recognition particle RNA is filed under the name Phaseolus vulgaris (common bean). RNAcentral's name for it is "SRP RNA Plant_SRP". It matches the Rfam family "Plant signal recognition particle RNA". Lineage: Eukaryota; Viridiplantae; Streptophyta; Magnoliopsida; Fabales; Fabaceae. The record is from Rfam by way of RNAcentral.
GCUGAGUUGGGUUACUCCAGCUUGUGACACAAGUGGGAGCAUCAUUGUGAUGGAACAACAUUGAGACUUGCCUUGGUUGGGCUGUGUAUGCAAUAUGUUGGCCUGCCCAUUCCAAGUUGAGAGUAGAGUCCGGGACUUUAGUGAAAACUACGGUCUCUUGGCUCUUAGAGAGGAGGGCAUAGCGUGAGGCUGGUUUCACAGAGCAGUGAUCCCUCCACUGUUGGGAGUGGGAGGUGAGUCUAUUCUGCUUGGACCAUCACUUUUAAUUUUUUAUGCUAUAGUAUG